This 253-nucleotide ribosomal RNA is filed under the name uncultured bacterium. Its description in RNAcentral is "partial 16S ribosomal RNA". It matches the Rfam family "Bacterial small subunit ribosomal RNA", at positions 524 to 776 of the family's 1533-position model. The record is from RNAcentral.
UACAGAGGUCCCGAGCGUUGUUCGGAUUCACUGGGCGUAAAGGGUGCGUAGGUGGCGAGGUAAGUCGGAUGUGAAAGCUCGGAGCUCAACUCCGAAAUGGCAUUGGAAACUACCUUGCUCGAGGGUUGGAGGGGGGACUGGAAUACUUGGUGUAGCAGUGAAAUGCGUAGAUAUCAAGUGGAACACCAGUGGCGAAGGCGAGUCCCUGGACAGCUACUGACACUGAGGCACGAAAGCUAGGGGAGCAAACAGG